UCCUAUGGAUUGUAAACUGCUUUUAUACGAGAAGAAACACUGCUUCGUGAAGCAGCUUGACGGUAUCGUAAGAAUAAGGAUCGGCUAACUCCGUGCCAGCAGCCGCGGUAAUACGGAGGAUCCAAGCGUUAUCCGGAAUCAUUGGGUUUAAAGGGUCCGUAGGCGGUUUAAUAAGUCAGUGGUGAAAGCCCAUCGCUCAACGGUGGAACGGCCAUUGAUACUGUUAAACUUGAAUUAUUAGGAAGUAACUAGAAUAUGUAGUGUAGCGGUGAAAUGCUUAGAGAUUACAUGGAAUACCAAUUGCGAAGGCAGGUUACUACUAAUGGAUUGACGCUGAUGGACGAAAGCGUGGGUAGCGAACAGGAUUAGAUACCCUGGUAGUCCACGCCGUAAACGAUGGAUACUAGCUGUUGGAAGCAAUUUCAGUGGCUAAGCGAAAGUGAUAAGUA
RNAcentral lists this ribosomal RNA (449 nucleotides) under Flavobacterium sp. RNAcentral's name for it is "bacterial SSU rRNA". It matches the Rfam family "Bacterial small subunit ribosomal RNA", at positions 415 to 866 of the family's 1533-position model. Lineage: Bacteria; Pseudomonadati; Bacteroidota; Flavobacteriia; Flavobacteriales; Flavobacteriaceae. The record is from RNAcentral.